UUUUUUUUUUUUUUAACAUUCAAAAAAUGAAGGGCAAACAUGCUUUUGGCUAUUGAAACACUGGACAAAUGGCUUUGCCUCACCAAGCUCCAUGCAGAAGAAAAUGUACAUAACAAGCAGAUUCUAACUAUACGUACGGGGAGAAGAAAAAAAUGCCUUUAAAAUAUAUACAUAUGGUCUUUGAUGAAUAUUUACAUGUUUGUCACAUGGGCACUACCUACCAUAAAAAAGUUAGGAAAUAGUUCUUUAAGACAUAUGAUUCUCCAAUUUUUGCUCCUUUUAAAGAUUAGGGCUCUAUAAUGUACACGCAUACACACACACAAAACAAUUCAUAGAUGUACAUAUGUGAUGUUUAUAAUGUGCAAUCCCUUGACACGAAGGUGGCUUGACUGAGUAUCAGGUAAAUGCAAGAUGGUAGUUAGUAUAAGACAGAGGCUUGAUUCAGCUACGUGGUGGAAUCGCGAACCAAGUACAGAGUCAUGAGACUUUUCCAAUGACUGGAACUCACAGCAGUUGAGGGUUGGGGGUGAGAGAGGGGCUCACCUUGUGUUGAUCCAUCUCUCCCCAGGCUACCUAAUGCUGUUUUCCAAUCAAACUCGGCAGUCCAGCUGACUGUUUGAUGAAGAUGUACUGAAGGACAGGAAGACCUGUCUCAUAUUGCAUUCUUUUGGACUGGGGAUAAGAGACCCAGUGUCGUCAAGAAAUAGGCCAUGACUUCCAUUUGUUCAUUUUGUUUACUUGUUUGCUAUCAACUUCUAGGGGGAGCUUCUAAAAGUUAGAUUGAAAGAGAUUAAAAGUUAUAUUCUUUCAGUUGCAGGGCUGUCUUUGAAUGAAAACAAACAAGUUUUUUAAUGAGCAGAAGCUGUGCAGUGUGUGGGUUUGCUGAAUGCCUAUUCUUCUGAUAGAGGGGGACUAGCUCUACCGGCCUCAAAGUUCUUAUUGAGAAUUCAGAUCAAUGUUUCCUGAGAUCUAAGUUGAUGGGAUAUUACACAUUUUGCAAAGCAUGUGAUUCAAUUAUUGUAACUUACUUCCAACCAGAGGCUCCUCCCCGAGGAAAGGCAGCUGCCUUCACUUUCAGCACCCUGGGAAAUCAAGGCAAUGCACAGAAGUAAAAACUGAUUCAUUGAAACCGGAAGAAAUGAUAGAGAAAUUGAAGCUUCUCCAAACACCUAAGAUAUCCAGGGAAAAAGUCAAAGUCUUAGGAGAAUCGGAUGCACGAAUAGUUUGUAUUCGAUCUUUAUUUUGGCAUAAAUUAUAUUUAAGGUGAUGUUACUACUACUGAUGAUCAUGAUUGUAAUUAAUUAUUUUAGCAUUUGUUAUAACGCAUGACAUACUGCAUUAGCACCUUGUAAACUAAGGAUCUCAAAAUACUUAGCAAAUGCAAUUUGCUCUCACAGCACCUGUGAGGUAGGUGUUUUUUCCAUCUAUUUUAUAAAUGAGAAUACUGAAGCAUAGCAAGGUUAAGAUGCAUGCCCACAUGACCCAACAAGUGUGAUGGUAUCAAGAGAAACUGAUUCCAAACUUCUCCACUCUUCCUUCCUGUGGACCUUAGUCACAGAGCUUCCAGAACACCUCCCAAUAGCAUUGCUGCUAGAGGUACUUGGAUGUUUCAGAUGUUACAAUAUUACUGUAGGGCUAAAGCACUCAAUGACAUUGGUAUCCAUUGAAAGAUGAUCUCACAUGCUUUGCAAAUACGUGGGAGGGGCAUCUGAUAUGACUGCUAAGUUUGUCUAUGUUAAUUAUAAUGUAUAUGUAAAUUUGCAUCUUCUCCGUGUAAUUUAUUGUUUUUCUGCCCUCCUGACUUUUUUUCUACACAUGUGCCUUCCUGAGCCAGAAACUGUAAAAUGCACUUAGCAACACCCUAUGGAGGGAAGCAGGUGAGAUUACAUUUGGCAAAAUCUCCUUGGAGGCACCAGGUAAUGUUUGUUCUGAAAGAACAACAACAACAACAACAAAAACCCCAAAAAACCCCUCUUGUUUAUUUUGUUAAGUAGCAUUUUAUAUACAUUCCACCGGAUGACCAGUUUUAAUCCUUGGAUGAGCAAGCAGAGUUGUCUUCCAAACAUACAGAAUAUUUGAUUUUCAAGUUUAAAUUUCGAUUUAUUUAGCUGUAGCCUCCCUGCCAGGCCUAAGUUCAUUUCUUGGUGGAACCGCAAAUACUGUACACAUUACAUGGCAAUAGAUGUAAAAAUUCAAUGUAACAGCACACAUAAUAUUAAUAAUCACAUUGAGUGUGUCUUCCUGACUGUGCAUUAUUUCUGAAAAAGAGUUAUUUACUUUUAUUUUUGCAGAGAUGAUAUGAAGACAUUACUGUGAGUCUCGGUUUCCCAGAACCAGAUUUUUAUCUCAGAUGCACAGUAUGUAAAUCCUAGCAGUUGUUAGGAUGUUGCUUUUUGAGAUAAAUGCAGUGCCUCAGGACCUGAGCAUGAAAUCUGGCCCUUCUAACUCAUGUAUUGUUUCUAUGACCAGAGCCUAACACUUAGAAAUUGGUAAUCCAAGAAAGAAACUAGGAGAGGGAAGAAAAAACUUUACAAAACCCCUACGCCAGUUCAUUUCCCCUGGUGACACCAGUAAAAUACCAACACACUAGGCCCCAUUUCUUAAAAAAGAAAAGAAGUGUAUUUACAUCGGUAAAAAUCCUAACAUCUGAGAUGUUUCUUGCUUGACAUGUCAUUCCAGAUUCUGUGCAUUUCUUCUGGAGAGAUCUGAUGCACGGUGAUAACUCGGCGAUACCUACACAAACUGUAGGCCAUUUUCCAGUGAUUGAAGCCACUGUUCUGGAAAGGAUGUAUGCCCAGUUUUCGAAGACAGAGUCCCACGUAUACAUCUUCAAGGUGAAGCAGCCUUGUAUGGAGUGAGGUCUUAUAGAUGAGCUCAGCUACAUCAGCUGAAAAGAUAUAGCCAGUCCCCGAACAGAACGGUGGGUAGUUACUGUCAGGGUACAAAUCCCUGGGCAUGUACCACUUGCUGCGGACGUCCCGGAUCGGCCCUCCGUUGAUGACAUAGCCAGUAAAAUACCUUCUUCUUGGCUUGGUGGAGGGUUUUAGUAGCUUAUAAAUCAGGUUGUCCAUGUUGACAAAAAUGUCACUGUCGGUUUUCAUGACAUACUUGGCUUUUGAACAAAAAGUGGCCACCCAUCUCAUUCCCAUUAAUGUUUUGAGGGUAAGGUUAUGGUAGGAGUCGAUGAAGUCCUCCACGAUAAUGUCGUGGAAGAUCUGGCUCUCCUGCUCCACCAUCUGAUUCAGAACGGGAUCGGCGUUCUUGCCCAGGAGGAAGAGCGUGGCUAUCUUGAUACCUUUGAAGUUGUUCUCGUCCCCCCACGUCUCUCGGAUUGCCUGGCGGGCAUCGAAUUCUUUGUGGGUGGUGCUGAUGAGGAUAACCAGGAAAGGAAUGCUUUUCUCACAUUUGUUGGGCUCAUUUAUGAGGAAUUCAAAAGAAUGUGGGUUUAUAGGUCGAGUUCUUAUGUUGCCAAAGGUGAAGUUUUUCCUGGCAACUGUUAGGUGGCUGAAUGGCUUGGAGCCAGUGUAGGAGGAAGUGGGACGAGUUAUACUCAGAUACCAGAGGGCGCUGGCCCAGCACACAACUGUCAAAACAUAUAGACAGGAGACCUUUGAAGCCAUUGUCUUGAGAGCACGUCUAUUCCAAAUACCGAAGAAUAUGCCUUCUUGGCAUUAGUUUG
RNAcentral lists this long non-coding RNA (3679 nucleotides) under Canis lupus familiaris (dog). RNAcentral's name for it is "lncRNA (ENSCAFG00000054212.1)". Lineage: Eukaryota; Metazoa; Chordata; Mammalia; Carnivora; Canidae. The record is from RNAcentral.